Long non-coding RNA from Ornithorhynchus anatinus (platypus), 510 nucleotides. RefSeq lists it as uncharacterized. The record is from RefSeq and is a predicted model, not a curated record. The transcript is spliced from 2 exons. NCBI's taxonomy places the organism in Eukaryota, Metazoa, Chordata, Mammalia, Monotremata, Ornithorhynchidae.
AGAGGACAGCAGAUCUGACGGGAUACGCCGCCCUCGAGGGGGGUCACGUGCGAAUGCCACAGGAAGCGGACGAGAACCGAGCUGCCUCCCGCUGUCGUCACCUCUGCCAAGAAACCACAACCCUAAAGCAGAGAAGCAGAAUAGACCCGGGCCUACCCAGCGCGAUGGCAGCAAUUUCCUUCCUCGACCUCAGCUCCGGCUGGCUGCCGGUUGUUGCCCCACGGCCUUUGACUCCACUGCGGAUUUUUAUCCUUGGGAAAAGAGAUCAUCAUUUCGAAAGUGCGUUCUACGAGUGAAAAAUGCAGAAUGCCGCUAAAGUAGCCCGCUGAUAUCUAGUGGCACGGACCAGCUCGUCAACGUACUCACCUCUUCUUGAACAUUUUAAAGCAGCAUUAUAAUCAAAGCGAUGAUCGGGUGAAAAUGCCUUCAGACCUUGGCAGGAUGAGAGAGGAUCGGGCAGCGCCAUCACUUUAGGAAUUGGAAAAUUAAAUUAACGUUUUACCUGUCACA